AGCGUACAGCUGUGACAUUUGUGGAAAAACUUUUACACAGUCUUCAAGCUUAAAAACACACCAACUCCUCCACAGUGGAGUUAAAGCGUACAGCUGUGACAUUUGUGGAAAAACUUUCAGCCAGUUAGGGUACCGAAAUAUUCACCUGCGCAUUCACACUGGACAUAAUGUUUACUGCUGUGAUCAGUGUGGCAAACUGUUUACAACAAAUGCACAGUUACAAAGCCACAUGUUUACCCACACUGAGGAGAGACCUUAUAAAUGUGACCUGUGUGAUAAAGUUUUUAAACAUCCAGAUUAUCUCAAAUCACACCAACAGAUCCACGCCAGAAAGAGACUCUACAAGUGCAGUUACUGUGAGAAGCAGAGCGACACAGAUGGAUCCAGUUCUCAACCCUGUCGUCACUGUGGUGGUGGGAAAGAGUUUCGCUGUGACCUUUGUGGAAAAACUUUCAGUUACCGAAGGAGCCUAAAAGUACAUCAACGUAGACACACUGGAGACAAAAUGAACUACUGCAAAGAAUGUGGGAGUGGCUUUACAACAUCAAGUGCAUUCAAAAAACAUGAACUCUGUCACAGUGGGGUUAAAGACCACCUCUGUGACCAGUGUGGGUCAUCCUUCACCACUGCAGAUCAUCUUAAAGAGCAUAAAAGAGUGCACACAGGAGAGAAACCAUACAAGUGCAGACACUGUGACAAAAGUUUCUCACGUUCAUCUGGUCGUAACAAACAUGAACGUACACACAUGGAAGAGAACUUCAGUUGUGACCAGUGUGACAAGAGCUUCAAGAAUUUCAUUUCAUACUCCAGACACAAACGAUCCCACGCUGUAAAUAAACUGUUUCACUGUUACCAAUGUGCAAAAACAUUCACUUCAUUAUCUGCUCUGCGCAAACAUCAGCGUGAUCAUGCAGAA
Oreochromis niloticus (Nile tilapia) is the source of this 916-nucleotide long non-coding RNA. RefSeq lists it as uncharacterized. The transcript is spliced from 2 exons. The record is from RefSeq and is a predicted model, not a curated record. Lineage: Eukaryota; Metazoa; Chordata; Actinopteri; Cichliformes; Cichlidae.